CCUACGGGAGGCAGCAGUGGGGAAUAUUGGGCAAUGGGCGCAAGCCUGACCCAGCAACGCCGCGUGAAGGAAGAAGGCUCUCGGGUUGUAAACUUCUUUUAUGAGGGACGAAGGAAGUGACGGUACCUCAUGAAUAAGCCACGGCUAACUACGUGCCAGCAGCCGCGGUAAUACGUAGGUGGCGAGCGUUAUCCGGAUUUACUGGGUGUAAAGGGCGUGUAGGCGGGCUUGCAAGUCAGAUGUGAAAACUAUUGGCUCAACCCAUAGACUGCAUGUGAAACUGGAGGUCUUGAGUGAAGGAGAGGCAGGCGGAAUUCCGGGUGUAGCGGUGAAAUGCGUAGAUAUACGGAAGAACACCAGUGGCGAAGGCAGCCUGCUGGACAUUAACUGACGCUGAGGCGCGAAAGCGUGGGGAGCAAACAGGAUUAGAUACCCUUGUAGUC
Molecule: ribosomal RNA, 443 nt
Filed under: uncultured bacterium
Lineage: Bacteria
Description: partial 16S ribosomal RNA
Rfam family: Bacterial small subunit ribosomal RNA
Source: RNAcentral